ACCUAUAAGACUGGGAUAACUUCGGGAAACCGGAGCUAAUACCGGAUAACAUUUAGAACCGCAUGGUUCUAAAGUGAAAGAUGGUUUUGCUAUCACUUAUAGAUGGACCCGCGCCGUAUUAGCUAGUUGGUAAGGUAACGGCUUACCAAGGCGACGAUACGUAGCCGACCUGAGAGGGUGAUCGGCCACACUGGAACUGAGACACGGUCCAGACUCCUACGGGAGGCAGCAGUAGGGAAUCUUCCGCAAUGGGCGAAAGCCUGACGGAGCAACGCCGCGUGAGUGAUGAAGGGUUUCGGCUCGUAAAACUCUGUUAUUAGGGAAGAACAAAUGUGUAAGUAACUGUGCACAUCUUGACGGUACCUAAUCAGAAAGCCACGGCUAACUACGUGCCAGCAGCCGCGGUAAUACGUAGGUGGCAAGCGUUAUCCGGAAUUAUUGGGCGUAAAGCGCGCGUAGGCGGUUUCUUAAGUCUGAUGUGAAAGCCCACGGCUCAACCGUGGAGGGUCAUUGGAAACUGGGAAACUUGAGUGCAGAAGAGGAAAGUGGAAUUCCAUGUGUAGCGGUGAAAUGCGCAGAGAUAUGGAGGAACACCAGUGGCGAAUGCGACUGUCUGGUCUGUAACUGA
RNAcentral lists this ribosomal RNA (628 nucleotides) under Staphylococcus xylosus. RNAcentral's name for it is "bacterial SSU rRNA". It matches the Rfam family "Bacterial small subunit ribosomal RNA", at positions 128 to 743 of the family's 1533-position model. Lineage: Bacteria; Bacillati; Bacillota; Bacilli; Caryophanales; Staphylococcaceae. The record is from RNAcentral.